AGAGUUUGAUUCUGGCUCAGGAUGAACGCUAGCGGGAGGCCUAAUACAUGCAAGUCGAAGGCAGCGGGGGCUUCGGCCUGCCGGCGAGUGGCGCACGGGUGAGUAACGCGUACGCAACUACCCUUUACCGGGGCAUAGUCACGGGAAACUGUGAAUAAUUCCGUAUAUGUUUCAGGGCUGCAUGGCCUUUGGAAUAAAACUCAGGUGGUAGAGGAUGGGCGUGCGUCUGAUUAGGUGUUGGCAGGGUAACGGCCUACCAAGCCUACGAUCAGUAGGGGGCGUGAGAGCGUGGCCCCCACACGGGUACUGAGACACGGACCCGACUCCUACGGGAGGCAGCAGUAAGGAAUAUUGUCAAUGGUGGGAACACUGAACCAGCCAUCCCGCGUGCAGGAUGAAGGCCCUCUGGGUUGAAACUGCUUUUACCAGGGAAGAAACGUGUGGGAUAUCCUGCACCUGACGGUACCUGGGGAUAAGCACCGGCUAACUCCGUGCCAGCAGCCGCGGUAA
This 510-nucleotide ribosomal RNA is filed under the name uncultured Bacteroidota bacterium. RNAcentral describes it as "bacterial SSU rRNA". It matches the Rfam family "Bacterial small subunit ribosomal RNA", at positions 8 to 523 of the family's 1533-position model. Lineage: Bacteria; Pseudomonadati; Bacteroidota. The record is from RNAcentral.